RNAcentral lists this long non-coding RNA (637 nucleotides) under Ananas comosus (pineapple). RNAcentral's name for it is "long non-coding RNA (ACOM_LNC039853)". The record is from RNAcentral. Lineage: Eukaryota; Viridiplantae; Streptophyta; Magnoliopsida; Poales; Bromeliaceae.
AACUAAAAUAACUAUAAAAAAGUAAAGAAAACACAUGCAUAUAGAUGCUCAAGUUAAAAAUAAUAUAUUUUGACUUUCAACUUAAAAGUGAUUGUGGUGCCAAUAUUUUCAUUUGGCCUCAAGAAGGAGAAAAGGACGGUAAAAGGAGAGAAUGGUAGGAGGAGAGGGCAGUAGAUGAAUUUCAUUAGGGUUUUUUUAGGUUUCUUUUAGAUUCCUUUACUAAUCUUAUCGGGCUAAAACAUAAAAUUUAUAUCCGAAACCCAAUAACCCAAAAACUUUUAAUCCAAAAUUCAAAAAAUAUUAAAUAUGCCGAGGUGCGCGCCUUAUGUGCGCCUCGCGCCUCGCCUGAGGCGCGCGCCUCAGGGCCUAGGCGCGCGCCUCAACAAUAGCGCCUCGCCUCGCUAUUGCUGAGGCGCGGAGGCCCGUGCCUCGCGCCUAGGCGCUGAAGAGCACGCCUCAGGCGCGCCUUUUCAAACACUGAGUGGAACUUACUAAAAUGAGUGGGCAUGAUGUGUUUACCAUAAUUUGUGAAAUACAGAAGAUGCAUGUAUCAUGUAUGGAACAAAAUUAUACAGCUAAAAGUGGCUAUAAGAAUCAACAUGUGUUCACCAUAAUUUGUGAGAUAUUUGGAGAUAUA